This 77-nucleotide transfer RNA is filed under the name Candidatus Heimdallarchaeota archaeon. Its description in RNAcentral is "tRNA-Tyr". It matches the Rfam family "tRNA". From Rfam's summary of the family: Transfer RNA (tRNA) molecules are approximately 80 nucleotides in length. Their secondary structure includes four short double-helical elements and three loops (D, anti-codon, and T loops). The record is from RNAcentral. Lineage: Archaea; Promethearchaeati; Candidatus Heimdallarchaeota. RNAcentral also lists the same sequence under 3 other names.
CGGGCUUUAGCUCAGUGGCUUAGAGCACUCGGCUGUAGACCGAGCGGUCCCGUGUUCAAAUCACGGAAGCCCGACCA